GGAACGGGGGGCUGCAAAGCAGGGGGUGCCGCGACGCGGUGCAAGUGGGAAGGGGGAGCUGCAAAGUGGGGUGCAACUGGGAAGGGGGGGUGCUGCGAGAUGGGGUGUAACUGGAAAGGGGGGGGUUGAAAUGGCGCAACUGGGAAGGGGGCACUGCAAAGUGGGGUGUGCUGUGAAACGGGGUGCAACUGGAAAGGGGGGGGUGUUUUGAAACGGGGUGCAACUGGAAAGGGAGCACUGCCAAGCGGGGUGUGCUAUGAAACGGGGUGCAGGUGGAACGGGGACACUGCAAAUUGGGGUGCCACUGGGAAGGGGUGUGUGUUUUGAAACUGCAACUUGAAAGGGGCACUGGAAAGCGGGAUGCAACUGGAAAGGGGGCAGUGCAAAGUGGGGUGUGUUGUAAAACGGUGCAGCUGGAAAGGGGGGCACUUCAAAGUGGGGUGCGAUUGGAAAGGGGGGUUGCAGGGCUGAGGGGCGUGCUGCAAAGUGGGGCGCAGUUGGAAAGAGGGCACUGGAAGGGGGGUGAGGGGGGCUUUGCAAAGUGGGGUGGAACUGCAAAGGGCGUGCGCAGGGGCAAGGGGUGCACUGCAAGGCGGGGUGCAGCUGCAAAGCAGGGUUAGAACCCAAAAGGGGGAGCAGAGGAGCAGGAGGGCACUACUGCAAGGCAGGGGGCGACUGCAAGGGGGGUGCAUGGGUCAAGGGGUGCGGUGCAAAGCGGGGUGCAGUGCAAAGGGUGGGGCAGGGAAACGAGGGGGUGCUAGAGCAAGGUGGAGUGCAGUGCAGGGCGGGGUUCGGCUGAAAAGGGUGCACGGAGGAGAAGCGUGCGGCGGGCACGGGUGCAAGCCUCAGAGCUUCCAGCGUGAUGGUGCUUGGGGAAAGCUGCAGGAAACGCCGACGUUCGUCCCCUGGCAGACCUGGGCGGGAAGAGGGAGCACGCCGUGUUGCUGGUGGAAAUGAUCAACGACAAACGUGACCCAUCAAUUAACGUGGAUCACGAGUCUGAGCAGGAACCAGCUAGGCCAGGUCCAACUCUCAGGCAGUUUUAUUCCUUGCUCCCUGUCUGUUUCUUGAGACUGAAAAUCCAGCCACCCUAUUUCAUGAGGAUACUCUCCGAGGUGGUUAUACGGCACGACAUUGGGCGCUGGGAAGAGAAUGCCUUGUUUACAUUCCCCAACGUGCCUCCAGUUCCCUUUGUGACCACAGCGAGUUCCUUAAACUCUGCAGCUCUGCAAUCCAGAAUAAGUAAGUACCCACAGCUCUCCUUGACUUCAGCCACUGUUAUGUCUAUCACCAGCUCUGAAAAAAAUCAAGCCUUCUAUGCCCCAAUUUCCUCUCUGUCAGCAAGCAAAACUUACAUGUCAAGGGCAUCUGAAGCCUGACGGAUUUUUGCGUGGAGCUUCAGAUCCCCAUGAGGACGGCAGCUGAGAAAAGAAGAUAAAACCUUGUUGUAAGGGUGGUAGUGAUGGAUACCGAUUAUUAUUUGUUUAAUUAAAAGAGCCUGGACAGACGCAGAGGCAACAAUUAAUUAUCUCCUGUAAAAACUUCGACCACAGCUAAAUAAAUUAAUGGGUUAUGAGAUGAAGACA
Long non-coding RNA from Anser brachyrhynchus (Pink-footed goose), 1586 nucleotides. NCBI's taxonomy places the organism in Eukaryota, Metazoa, Chordata, Aves, Anseriformes, Anatidae. The record is from Ensembl.